This 407-nucleotide ribosomal RNA is filed under the name uncultured bacterium. RNAcentral describes it as "bacterial SSU rRNA". It matches the Rfam family "Bacterial small subunit ribosomal RNA", at positions 355 to 774 of the family's 1533-position model. The record is from RNAcentral.
UGGGGAAUAUUGCACAAUGGGCGCAAGCCUGAUGCAGCAACGCCGCGUGAGGGACGACGGCCUUCGGGUUGUAAACCUCUUUUGGCAGGGAAGAAGCGAAAGUGACGGUACCUGCAGAAAAAGCACCGGCUAACUACGUGCCAGCAGCCGCGGUGAUACGUAGGGUGCAAGCGUUGUCCGGAAUUACUGGGCGUAAAGGGUGCGCAGGCGGUCUUGCAAGUCAGAUGUGAAAGCCCCGGGCUUAACCUGGGAAUUGCGUUUGAAACUACAAGGCUAGAGUGCAGCAGAGGGGAGUGGAAUUCCAUGUGUAGCAGUGAAAUGCGUAGAGAUGUGGAAGAACAUCGAUGGCGAAGGCAGCUCCCUGGGUUGACACUGACGCUCAUGCACGAAAGCGUGGGGAGCAAACA